Long non-coding RNA from Oxyura jamaicensis (ruddy duck), 463 nucleotides. RefSeq lists it as uncharacterized. The record is from RefSeq and is a predicted model, not a curated record. The transcript is spliced from 2 exons. Lineage: Eukaryota; Metazoa; Chordata; Aves; Anseriformes; Anatidae.
UUCGCAGCCAGGGGUGCUGUAUUGUCUCCCGUACCCGGGCGUAUGCAGAGCUGUGCUGCAGACACUAGAGGCCAUCGCUGAGUACGGCGUGCCCUGCCAAAUGACAGAUCGUGGUAACCAUGCAGCAGCAGGCCCAGAGAACAAAGAAAAGGAUUUGACUUGGCCGUGGCACCGGGCUCCGCACACCCGUGCCAGAAGUUGCGCCACUCAAACUCUGCUGGAGGGAAAGGAAAAUGAAAAAUCCCCGAUUUCACCUCAAUUUCGGAUGAUGCAAUCGUGAAACUGAAAUUAAUUGUGGGGGUAUUAUUAUCUCGCAGGGUAAUGGACCUUAGGCUUUUUGACCUAUCGCUCCGUAUGUUAAUCUCGAGGAGAAGCCCUGGGUCUUAGAUGACUAUUAGUCAAUUAACCCGAAAUACAUCUGCCAUCUGCAUGUCUGAACAUCCUGUACGUCUCAGAUUUAAAA